CCUACGGGCGGCAGCAGUGGGGAAUAUUGCACAAUGGGGGAAACCCUGAUGCAGCGACGCCGCGUGAGGGAGGAAGUAUUUCGGUAUGUAAAGCUCUAUCAGCAGGGAAGAAAAUGACGGUACCUGACUAAGAAGCCCCGGCUAACUACGUGCCAGCAGGCGCGGUAAUACGGAGGGGGCAAGCGUUAUCCGGAUUUACGGGGGGUAAAGGGAGCGUAGACGGUUAAUCAAGUCCGAAGUGAAAACCCCGGGCCCAACCUUGGGACUGCUUUUGAAACUGAGUAGCUAGAGUGCAGGAGAGGUAAGCGGAAUUCCUAGUGUAGCGGUGAAAUGCGUAGAUAUUAGGAAGAACACCAGUGGCGAAGGCAGCUUACUGGACUGAAACUGACGUUGAGGCACGAAAGCGUGGGGAGCAAACAGGAUUAGAUACCCCUGUAGUC
RNAcentral lists this ribosomal RNA (440 nucleotides) under uncultured bacterium. RNAcentral's name for it is "partial 16S ribosomal RNA". It matches the Rfam family "Bacterial small subunit ribosomal RNA", at positions 338 to 795 of the family's 1533-position model. The record is from RNAcentral.